This 325-nucleotide ribosomal RNA is filed under the name uncultured bacterium. RNAcentral describes it as "bacterial SSU rRNA". It matches the Rfam family "Bacterial small subunit ribosomal RNA", at positions 29 to 385 of the family's 1533-position model. The record is from RNAcentral.
AACGAACGCUGGCGGCAGGCCUAACACAUGCAAGUCGAACGCUCCAGCAAUGGAGAGUGGCAGACGGGUGAGUAACGCGUGGGAACCUUCCCUAUGGUUCGGAAUAGCUCAGGGAAACUUGAGGUAAUACCGGAUAAGCCCUUCGGGGAAGGAUUAUCGCCAUUGGAUGGCCCGCGUAGGAUUAGCUAGUUGGUGAGGUAACGGCUCACCAAGGCGACGAUCCUUAGCUGGCUGAGAGGAUGAUCAGCCACACUGGGACUGAGACACGGCCCAGACUCCUACGGGAGGCAGCAGUGGGGAAUAUUGGACAAUGGGCGCAAGCCUG